GUGCGGCGUGCUUAACACAUGCAAGUCGAACGGAAAGGCCCUGCUUUUGUGGGGUGCUCGAGUGGCGAACGGGUGAGUAACACGUGAGUAACCUGCCCUUGACUUUGGGAUAACUUCAGGAAACUGGGGCUAAUACCGGAUAGGAGCUCCUGCUGCAUGGUGGGGGUUGGAAAGUUUCGGCGGUUGGGGAUGGACUCGCGGCUUAUCAGCUUGUUGGUGGGGUAGUGGCUUACCAAGGCUUUGACGGGUAGCCGGCCUGAGAGGGUGACCGGCCACAUUGGGACUGAGAUACGGCCCAGACUCCUACGGGAGGCAGCAGUGGGGAAUAUUGCACAAUGGGCGGAAGCCUGAUGCAGCAACGCCGCGUGCGGGAUGACGGCCUUCGGGUUGUAAACCGCUUUCGCCUGUGACGAAGCGUGAGUGACGGUAAUGGGUAAAGAAGCACCGGCUAACUACGUGCCAGCAGCCGCGGUGAUACGUAGGGUGCGAGCGUUGUCCGGAUUUAUUGGGCGUAAAGGGCUCGUAGGUGGUUGAUCGCGUCGGAAGUGUAAUCUUGGGGCUUAACCCUGAGCGUGCUUUCGAUACGGGUUGACUUGAGGAAGGUAGGGGAGAAUGGAAUUCCUGGUGGAGCGGUGGAAUGCGCAGAUAUCAGGAGGAACACCAGUGGCGAAGGCGGUUCUCUGGGCCUUUCCUGACGCUGAGGAGCGAAAGCGUGGGGAGCGAACAGGCUUAGAUACCCUGGUAGUCCACGCUGUAAACGGUGGGUACUAGGUGUGGGGUCCAUUCCACGGGUUCCGUGCCGUAGCUAACGCUUUAAGUACCCCGCCUGGGGAGUACGGCCGCAAGGCUAAAACUCAAAGGAAUUGACGGGGCCCCGCACAAGCGGCGGAGCAUGCGGAUUAAUUCGAUGCAACGCGUGGAACCUUACCUGGGUUUGACAUGGAUCGGGAGUGCUCAGAGAUGGGUGUGCCUCUUUUGGGGUCGGUUCACAGGUGGUGCAUGGCUGUCGUCAGCUCGUGUCGUGAGAUGUUGGGUUAAGUCCCGCAACGAGCGCAACCCUUGUUCACUGUUGCCAGCACGUUAUGGUGGGGACUCAGUGGAGACCGCCGGGGUCAACUCGGAGGAAGGUGGGGAUGACGUCAAGUCAUCAUGCCCCUUAUGUCCAGGGCUUCACGCAUGCUACAAUGGCUGGUACAGAGAGUGGCGAGCCUGUGAGGGUGAGCGAAUCUCGGAAAGCCGGUCUCAGUUCGGAUUGGGGUCUGCAACUCGACCUCAUGAAGUCGGAGUCGCUAGUAAUCGCAGAUCAGCAACGCUGCGGUGAAUACGUUCCCGGGGCUUGUACACACCGCCCGUCAAGUCAUGAAAGUUGGUAACACCCGAAGCCGGUGGCCUAACCGUUGUGGGGGAGCCGUCGAAGGUGGGACUGGUGAUUA
This 1433-nucleotide ribosomal RNA is filed under the name uncultured organism. Its description in RNAcentral is "partial small subunit ribosomal RNA". It matches the Rfam family "Bacterial small subunit ribosomal RNA". The record is from RNAcentral.